CAGGGAUUGGAGCAGCCCUCACAACAAGAACAGCAUUGGAGGGUUGGAGCAUCUCCUGAGAAGGGCAUAGAACAAAAAUCCUAUGAAGACCUGGACCAUAAAUCCCAUGAGGAACAGCUGAAGGUUUUCUUUUGACUGUUCCAGGAUCUAAGGGAGACAUCGGAAGCUGAAGAAAGGAAGCGACCUGUUCACAGGUUGACACCCUGCCAGCAAUCAUUACAAACCCUGAAAUUGGUAUUUUCACCCUCAUUUGGAUGAUCAGGAACAGAACAUUCUUGCUGAUUGAGUUGUCAAAAUCGAGGCUCAUCUGAUGGCUCCCAACAGACCUCUAUGAAAUUGGUGUACUCAAAUCAAUUGGCUUUGCUGGAGUUGAAAGAACUGGCUGUCAACCACAUAUGGUGCCCAUUUGUUCAUGUGGAUGGACUCCAGACAUUGCACCAGAGCUGUUAAAGCCAGAGCUCCUCCUCGCAGGUGGCACGAGAUUUCCAUGGGAAAGUCUUGCUGUCUUUUCCAUGACCACUAAAGUCUUGUUGUCUUUUCUUUGACCAUUUUUAUGACAGGCAGGUGGAGAAGAGGAAAGAUGCAGCUUAUUGAUGAAAUUUGAAGGAAAACCUAAAAAUCCUGUGUGUGUGUGUGCGUGAGUGUGUGAAUGUGAGGCCAGCUAUGUGGAACUUCUGUUGGUAUAUUCUAAAUGCACUUUAGUUAUGAUGGAAUAUAGGAAAGACCAAUAUUUUUGUCUCGUGUCACAAAAAAAAAAAUCAUCACGCUCAAAGAGUCACUAAAAUUAAUGAGUUUGAUGGGAUAGGCCUGUCACCACCUCUGAAUUCACAUUAACUUUCCAAUUUCUUUUAAUCUCUCCUUUCAAUUGGGCAUGAAAAAGUCUGUUAAAUUUAGUCUCAGCCUAAGAGCUUUUGGGUACUUUUUUGGUAUUCAAUUUUCAGGAAUACCUGAAGAUCUUUCUUUGAGUUAUUUGGAAAAAAAAUUAUUUUCCUCUUAUAUUCUGGUCAGAUAUUUCACAUUUUGGUUUCUUAAAAGUAGUUUGGGGUGGACUUGCCAAACUGUCUUAGUCUGUAGAGGUAAC
Long non-coding RNA from Motacilla alba alba, 1081 nucleotides. RefSeq lists it as uncharacterized. The transcript has 3 exons. The record is from RefSeq and is a predicted model, not a curated record. NCBI's taxonomy places the organism in Eukaryota, Metazoa, Chordata, Aves, Passeriformes, Motacillidae.